GUACUUGCUUCGGCAGUACAUGUACUAAAAUCGGAGCGAAACAGAGAAGAUCGCAUGGCGCCUGCGCAAGGAUGACACGAAAAAUCGGGAAGCGUUCCACACCUUU
RNAcentral lists this small nuclear RNA (106 nucleotides) under Stegodyphus mimosarum. The record is from RNAcentral. Lineage: Eukaryota; Metazoa; Arthropoda; Arachnida; Araneae; Eresidae.